CCCACAGUCUGCCUCUUUAACACUGGAGUCUGCAUCUCCCUCUCUGCUGCUCCUGGAGGCAGCUCUUACCAGCCACCUCCAGGAUGAUGUGGCUCACAGACAACCAGCCCCGUUGCUGAGCACUGUGAUUUUUUUCAGCAACCAGGCAGCUUGUUCAAACCACCACAGAGCGGGGGCAGAGCCUGCGAGGAGCUGAGGUAAUCAUUUUUACAUUAACUAUCUGGCAAAGAUGUGGGCUGCAGACAGGGAGAAGGGAUACAGAGGGAGGGAGGAGAUGUGGAAAAUGACAGUGAAAAAUGAAGAAACAGUCUUUUAAAAGAAGUCCAGUGUUCCUUGGAAAGGUAUGACACUGCAGGAAGACUGAAGGCAGAGAAGGGAAGGUAGAAAGGCUGCACAUCUGCAUUCUGCACAUUUAUUUAGUUCUAAUGUAUCAUUUUGCCUUUAUCUUUCUUGUUGCUGUUUUUCAGGCCAGCUGCAAAAGUUUUGCAAAAGACUCUCACUUCCAAAGCAAACCAAAAAGUCAGAGUACAGUGGUGACUGUGGGCUAUGUGAAGCCUGACUUGAAUGUAAAAGAUCCACAGGGAAAAAAUCUUCCAGUCCUUACUGAAUUAAAGCUGGCAUGCCACAGGUUUUGUGGGAGCACUCCACACUGAGCACCGCCUUGGGUGGCACCUACAGACCAAUAUCUCGUGGCCAUUGCAAAGCCCCACACCAGAUCUACAGGCAUGGGUAAUGGGAGGUGGAAAAAAAUUAGCAGCCACUCACUUUUCCAAAAAUCAGCCAGCUUUGGCCAACUAAACACUACCCAAACUCGGGCAGGAGGAGAGCUCUGAGGUUUAUCAGACCAUCCCAGGCAAUUUCAUUGCAUUUAGGGCGUUGUUGAUGUUAGUCACCCCUCAGCCAUCUGCCUUUCAGUGAGAUUCAGGCUUGUAAGAUAUUUGGGUGCUUUUGGAAAGGUUACAUGCAGUCAAAAGCAGGCAGCCAAGGCUCCUGCACUCAGCCAGAGCUGGUGAGGCAGCUUAGCCUUAUGUCUUAACCCAGCAGCAGCAGUGCUUGGACAGACAUCAUUUCUGUUGUGCUUCUUGGCAGACAAGACUUCAGACAGAAUCUGGUUGUGAUUUAGUUUUGGUCUACAUGUUCAAUGCUCAGUCAAAAUUCUUGGGCAGCCAACACAACACAGAAACUGCCUUCAAUAGAAGAGAGAGUAAAUGCAAUGUUUUCAGUUUGAACAAUAUUUCAGUUGUUUUGUCAGUGGACCACAGCCAGUCAUGAACUGCUCCAAUUUGGUCCCAGACUGCAGACAGCUCUGGUUUGUCCACAUAAAGUGUAUUCAAUGAACUCACACUGCAAGUUGGCAGAAGGGGAACACCUCCAGCUCCUGUGUGUCACUGUUGCUUCUGGUGCUAUCAUGGGACUGCCAAACCCACCAGUGUUCCUGCUCUCUGACAGGCAAGCUCUGCAUCUGCAGCAGGAAAAAGUGUUUAACACAAGGGUUUUCCCAGCCCUGAUGACAAAGUUGUAACUCAAAAAACACAACAGUGCAUAUUGUGUUGGAAUUGACCUCCCUCCCCUCUCAUCCUUAGCUUUCUGUAUCUCCAUAUUUACAAGUCUCCCCUCCAUGGCACCCAGGUGCCAACUGCAGUCCCCAGUGUUUGGAAGUGACUAUUGAUAAAGUACGAAGACUGUGAUAUCUUGUAUGGGAAUUGACAGGUUUUGAAAUAAAAGAAGCCACAAGUAAAAUCGGUGUGUAAAU
RNAcentral lists this long non-coding RNA (1753 nucleotides) under Zonotrichia albicollis (white-throated sparrow). RNAcentral's name for it is "lncRNA (ENSZALG00000012636.1)". Lineage: Eukaryota; Metazoa; Chordata; Aves; Passeriformes; Passerellidae. The record is from RNAcentral.